Molecule: unclassified non-coding RNA, 298 nt
Filed under: Hevea brasiliensis (rubber tree)
Lineage: Eukaryota; Viridiplantae; Streptophyta; Magnoliopsida; Malpighiales; Euphorbiaceae
Source: RNAcentral
GUCCGGUUCAAACUUAUGAAUCAUUGUCCGUUCUGGUCUUCAAUUUGACCGAACUGGUUCUGAUCCGAUUUCAAACUCAAAUCAGACCUUGGCCGGAUCUAGAUAGGGUAGCCUCACUUGGGAGAGGCAGAAUUUGAACCGGUUCUAGCACAUGUCAUCCUAAGCUAAUAGGGGUUAUGGGUAGCCAUUGAAAUAAGCAUGAACACUUUAGUUAAGCAAUGCACAUUACACACUAGACUCACUUGAUAAUUAAAAGAAAAUUAAAAACAAGAAAAUGGUUUUUUCUUUUUUUAAUAAU